Molecule: unclassified non-coding RNA, 244 nt
Filed under: plant metagenome
Description: partial contains small subunit ribosomal RNA, internal transcribed spacer 1, and 5.8S ribosomal RNA
Source: RNAcentral
UCUCCGUUGGUGAACCAGCGGAGGGAUCAUUACCGAGUUUACAACUCCCAAACCCAAUGUGAACCAUACCAAACUGUUGCCUCGGCGGGGUCACGCCCCGGGUGCGUCGCAGCCCCGGAACCAGGCGCCCGCCGGAGGGACCAACCAAACUCUUUCUGUAGUCCCCUCGGGGACGUUAUUUUUACAGCUCUGAGCAAAAAUUCAAAAUGAAUCAAAACUUUCAACAACGGAUCUCUUGGUUCUG